GUAACACGUGAGCAACCUGCCCCUGACUCUGGGAUAAGCGCUGGAAACGGCGUCUAAUACUGGAUACGAACCACGAAGGCAUCUUCAGUGGUUGGAAAGAAUUUCGGUUGGGGAUGGGCUCGCGGCCUAUCAGCUUGUUGGUGAGGUAAUGGCUCACCAAGGCGUCGACGGGUAGCCGGCCUGAGAGGGUGACCGGCCACACUGGGACUGAGACACGGCCCAGACUCCUACGGGAGGCAGCAGUGGGGAAUAUUGCACAAUGGGCGCAAGCCUGAUGCAGCAACGCCGCGUGAGGGAUGACGGCCUUCGGGUUGUAAACCUCUUUUAGCAGGGAAGAAGCGAAAGUGACGGUACCUGCAGAAAAAGCGCCGGCUAACUACGUGCCAGCAGCCGCGGUAAUACGUAGGGCGCAAGCGUUAUCCGGAAUUAUUGGGCGUAAAGAGCUCGUAGGCGGUUUGUCGCGUCUGCUGUGAAAUCCGGAGGCUCAACCUCCGGCCUGCAGUGGGUACGGGCAGACUAGAGUGCGGUAGGGGAGAUUGGAAUUCCUGGUGUAGCGGUGGAAUGCGCAGAUAUCAGGAGGAACACCGAUGGCGAAGGCAGAUCUCUGGGCCGUAACUGACGCUGAGGAGCGAAAGGGUGGGGAGCAAACAGGCUUAGAUACCCUGGUAGUCCACCCCGUAAACGUUGGGAACUAGUUGUGGGGUCCAUUCCACGGAUUCCGUGACGCAGCUAACGCAUUAAGUUCCCCGCCUGGGGAGUACGGCCGCAAGGCUAAAACUCAAAGGAAUUGACGGGGACCC
RNAcentral lists this ribosomal RNA (800 nucleotides) under bacterium. Its description in RNAcentral is "bacterial SSU rRNA". It matches the Rfam family "Bacterial small subunit ribosomal RNA", at positions 110 to 922 of the family's 1533-position model. The record is from RNAcentral.